UACGGAGGGUGCAAGCGUUAUCCGGAUUCACUGGGUUUAAAGGGUGCGUAGGCGGAUAUGUAAGUCCGUGGUGAAAUCCUUCAGCUCAACUGGAGAAGUGCCGCUGAUACUGACAGUCUCGAGGGAGGUAGGGGUCGAUGGAACUAAUGGUGGAGCGGUGAAAUGCGUAGAUAUCAUUAGGAACGCCGGUGGCGAAAGCGAUCGACUGGACCUCUUCUGACGCUGAGGCGCGAAAGCUAGGGGAGCAAACGGG
Molecule: ribosomal RNA, 253 nt
Filed under: uncultured bacterium
Lineage: Bacteria
Description: partial 16S ribosomal RNA
Rfam family: Bacterial small subunit ribosomal RNA
Source: RNAcentral